GAUCCUGGCUCAGGACGAACGCUGGCGGCGUGCCUAAUACAUGCAAGUCGAACGAACGGAUAAAGAGCUUGCUCUUUUGAAGUUAGUGGCGGACGGGUGAGUAACACGUGGGUAACCUGCCUCACAGCUGGGGAUAACAUCGAGAAAUCGAUGCUAAUACCGAAUGUGCUGAACAUCAUAAGAUGUUCAAGUGAAAGACGGUUUCGGCUGUCACUGUGAGAUGGACCCGCG
This 231-nucleotide ribosomal RNA is filed under the name uncultured bacterium. RNAcentral describes it as "partial 16S ribosomal RNA". It matches the Rfam family "Bacterial small subunit ribosomal RNA", at positions 15 to 235 of the family's 1533-position model. The record is from RNAcentral.